GGUGAAGAUAAUCACUGAAUGCAUUGCAUCAAGAUCAGCCAGUAGAUCUGUCGAGAUCUGUAGAGCUUGUAUUGUGUUGAAAUAUGUGCGUGUGCCCUUCAUCGUGAACUUGAGUUAUUAAAUACGAUUGAAAUUCGGCGGCGGUGUGCGAUUGAGCCGGGAUUACACACUUCUCUCCGUUAUUCUGCUCUUUCCUCACACUUAAUGAGAACAGAAAGCUUUGUUGUGCUGAGAUCCUCUAUUCACAGGCAGCGCGUCUGUCGAACAGCUCCAGCCGUCGAGGAGGAAUGACAUCUAAUACCUGAGGGCACUUUCUUAUCUCCAACCUGUCAAAAACAGACACGGCCAUCAUUCAGAGAACGCAGCAGCCAAUGGCAAACACCUCUCCGUAUUUCCAUUGUAAGAAGCUCAGUGGAACUUCUUCUUCGUUUUCAGUGUUUUGAGGAUGAGAUGCUCCUGACGGAUGUGAGAUGUGAACAGUAACAGUACAUGUUUAGGUGAAUUAAUUAGUGCUGUUCACUAGUCAGUCGUCACUAGUACCAGUGCUGAUAGUGAUAUGGUGAAUAUGGCAUCUUUUCUUACUUUUAAAGGAAUAGUUCAGACAAAGAUGAAAGUUUGCUGAAAAUGUGCUCAUCCUCGGUCCAUCCAUGAUUACGAUGAGUUUGUUUCUUCAUCAGGUUUGUAGAAAUGCAGCAUUGCAUCAGUGUCUCAGCA
Molecule: long non-coding RNA, 714 nt
Organism: Cyprinus carpio carpio
Lineage: Eukaryota; Metazoa; Chordata; Actinopteri; Cypriniformes; Cyprinidae
Source: Ensembl